UUAAGCGACUAAGCGUACACGGUGGAUGCCCUGGCAGUCAGAGGCGAUGAAGGACGUGCUAAUCUGCGAUAAGCGCCGGUAAGGUGAUAUGAACCGUUAUAACCGGCGAUUUCCGAAUGGGGAAACCCAGUGUGAUUCGUCACACUAUCAUUAACUGAAUCCAUAGGUUAAUGAGGCGAACCGGGGGAACUGAAACAUCUAAGUACCCCGAGGAAAAGAAAUCAACCGAGAUUCCCCCAGUAGCGGCGAGCGAACGGGGAGGAGCCCAGAGCCUGAAUCAGCAUGUGUGUUAGUGGAAGCGUCUGGAAAGGCGCGCGAUACAGGGUGACAGCCCCGUACACAAAAGCGCAUGUGCUGUGAGCUCGAUGAGUAGGGCGGGACACGUGGUAUCCUGUCUGAAUAUGGGGGGACCAUCCUCCAAGGCUAAAUACUCCUGACUGACCGAUAGUGAACCAGUACCGUGAGGGAAAGGCGAAAAGAACCCCGGCGAGGGGAGUGAAAAAGAACCUGAAACCGUGUACGUACAAGCAGUGGGAGCCCCACCACCAAAGCAUUCUCUGGUGUUGAAGGCCCUGCAAAGCAGCAUCGCGGUGGCGGAGCGUCGUUUGCGACGCCCAACACACAAAACAAGCGGUGAGUGCUUUGGGGUGGGGUGACUGCGUACCUUUUGUAUAAUGGGUCAGCGACUUAUAUUCUGUAGCAAGGUUAACCGAAUAGGGGAGCCGGAGGGAAACCGAGUCUUAAUUGGGCGUUAAGUUGCAGGGUAUAGACCCGAAACCCGGUGAUCUAGCCAUGGGCAGGUUGAAGGUUGGGUAACACUAACUGGAGGACCGAACCGACUAAUGUUGAAAAAUUAGCGGAUGACCUGUGGCUGGGGGUGAAAGGCCAAUCAAACCGGGAGAUAGCUGGUUCUCCCCGAAAGCUAUUUAGGUAGCGCCUCGUGAAUUCAUCUCCGGGGGUAGAGCACUGUUUCGGCUAGGGGGCCAUCCCGGCUUACCAACCCGAUGCAAACUGCGAAUACCGGAGAAUGUUAUCACGGGAGACACACGGCGGGUGCUAACGUCCGUCGUGAAGAGGGAAACAACCCAGACCGCCAGCUAAGGUCCCAAAGUCAUGGUUAAGUGGGAAACGAUGUGGGAAGGCCCAGACAGCCAGGAUGUUGGCUUAGAAGCAGCCAUCAUUUAAAGAAAGCGUAAUAGCUCACUGGUCGAGUCGGCCUGCGCGGAAGAUGUAACGGGGCUAAACCAUGCACCGAAGCUGCGGCAGCGAACGUAUCACUUAAAGCGAUUCAGCGGGUUACGAUUGACGGAGCGAAGCGACGUCAAAGCGUAUACAAAGUCGAGUCGGUUUAAGGAUACGUUCGUUGGGUAGGGGAGCGUUCUGUAAGCCUGUGAAGGUGUGUCGUGAGGCAUGCUGGAGGUAUCAGAAGUGCGAAUGCUGACAUAAGUAACGAUAAAGCGGGUGAAAAGCCCGCUCGCCGGAAGACCAAGGGUUCCUGUCCAACGUUAAUCGGGGCAGGGUGAGUCGACCCCUAAGGCGAGGCCGAAAGGCGUAGUCGAUGGGAAACGGGUUAAUAUUCCCGUACUUGGUGUUACUGCGAAGGGGGGACGGAGAAGGCUAUGUUGGCCGGGCGACGGUUGUCCCGGUUUAAGCGUGUAGGUGUGUGUUCCAGGUAAAUCCGGUUCACUUUAACACUGAGGCGUGAUGACGAGGCACUACGGUGCUGAAGCAACAAAUGCCCUGCUUCCAGGAAAAGCCUCUAAGCAUCAGGUAACAUCAAAUCGUACCCCAAACCGACACAGGUGGUCAGGUAGAGAAUACCAAGGCGCUUGAGAGAACUCGGGUGAAGGAACUAGGCAAAAUGGUGCCGUAACUUCGGGAGAAGGCACGCUGACAUGUAGGUGAAGUGAUUUACUCAUGGAGCUGAAGUCAGUCGAAGAUACCAGCUGGCUGCAACUGUUUAUUAAAAACACAGCACUGUGCAAACACGAAAGUGGACGUAUACGGUGUGACGCCUGCCCGGUGCCGGAAGGUUAAUUGAUGGGGUCAGCGCAAGCGAAGCUCCUGAUCGAAGCCCCGGUAAACGGCGGCCGUAACUAUAACGGUCCUAAGGUAGCGAAAUUCCUUGUCGGGUAAGUUCCGACCUGCACGAAUGGCGUAAUGAUGGCCAGGCUGUCUCCACCCGAGACUCAGUGAAAUUGAACUCGCUGUGAAGAUGCAGUGUACCCGCGGCAAGACGGAAAGACCCCGUGAACCUUUACUAUAGCUUGACACUGAACAUUGAGCCUUGAUGUGUAGGAUAGGUGGGAGGCUUUGAAGUGUGGACGCCAGUCUGCAUGGAGCCGACCUUGAAAUACCACCCUUUAAUGUUUGAUGUUCUAACGUGGACCCGUGAUCCGGGUUGCGGACAGUGUCUGGUGGGUAGUUUGACUGGGGCGGUCUCCUCCUAAAGAGUAACGGAGGAGCACGAAGGUUGGCUAAUCCUGGUCGGACAUCAGGAGGUUAGUGCAAUGGCAUAAGCCAGCUUGACUGCGAGCGUGACGGCGCGAGCAGGUGCGAAAGCAGGUCAUAGUGAUCCGGUGGUUCUGAAUGGAAGGGCCAUCGCUCAACGGAUAAAAGGUACUCCGGGGAUAACAGGCUGAUACCGCCCAAGAGUUCAUAUCGACGGCGGUGUUUGGCACCUCGAUGUCGGCUCAUCACAUCCUGGGGCUGAAGUAGGUCCCAAGGGUAUGGCUGUUCGCCAUUUAAAGUGGUACGCGAGCUGGGUUUAGAACGUCGUGAGACAGUUCGGUCCCUAUCUGCCGUGGGCGCUGGAGAACUGAGGGGGGCUGCUCCUAGUACGAGAGGACCGGAGUGGACGCAUCACUGGUGUUCGGGUUGUCAUGCCAAUGGCACUGCCCGGUAGCUAAAUGCGGAAGAGAUAAGUGCUGAAAGCAUCUAAGCACGAAACUUGCCCCGAGAUGAGUUCUCCCUGAGACUUAGAGUCUCCUGAAGGAACGUUGAAGACGACGACGUUGAUAGGCCGGGUGUGUAAGCGCAGCGAUGCGUUGAGCUAACCGGUACUAAUGAACCGUGAGGCUUAACCUU
Molecule: ribosomal RNA, 3087 nt
Filed under: Salmonella enterica subsp. enterica serovar Infantis
Lineage: Bacteria; Pseudomonadati; Pseudomonadota; Gammaproteobacteria; Enterobacterales; Enterobacteriaceae
Description: bacterial LSU rRNA
Rfam family: Bacterial large subunit ribosomal RNA
Source: RNAcentral